CGAGGGAUUUUCGGCAAUGGGCGCAAGCCUGACCGAGCAACGCCGCGUGCGGGACGACGCCCCUCGGGGUGUAAACCGCUUUUGGUCGGGGCGAAGAUGACGGUACCGAUCGAAUAAGUCUCGGCUAACUACGUGCCAGCAGCCGCGGUAAGACGUAGGAGACGAGCGUUGUCCGGAUUUACUGGGCGUAAAGCGCGCGCAGGCGGCCCCGCAGGUCGGUUGUGAAAGCCCCCGGCUCAACCGGGCGGAGGCGAGCGAAACCGCGGGGCUGGAGGCUGGCAGAGGGUGGUGGAAUUCCCGGUGUAGUGGUGAAAUGCGUAGAGAUCGGGAGGAACACCCGCGGCGAAGGCGGCCACCUGGACCAGGCCUGACGCUGAGGCGCGAAGGCCGGGGGAGCGAACGG
This 403-nucleotide ribosomal RNA is filed under the name uncultured bacterium. RNAcentral's name for it is "bacterial SSU rRNA". It matches the Rfam family "Bacterial small subunit ribosomal RNA", at positions 355 to 775 of the family's 1533-position model. The record is from RNAcentral.